GUCACACAAGGCGGCUAGCAGG
Molecule: microRNA, 22 nt
Filed under: anatid alphaherpesvirus 1
Lineage: Duplodnaviria; Heunggongvirae; Peploviricota; Herviviricetes; Herpesvirales; Orthoherpesviridae
Description: dev-miR-D22-3p
Gene: dev-miR-D22-3p
Source: miRBase by way of RNAcentral